Molecule: long non-coding RNA, 92 nt
Organism: Sphaeramia orbicularis (orbiculate cardinalfish)
Lineage: Eukaryota; Metazoa; Chordata; Actinopteri; Kurtiformes; Apogonidae
Exons: 3
Source: RefSeq, a predicted model, not a curated record
UGUAUUCUGGUGCAUUUUAACAUGUGGUUUGAUACUUUUAUCAAGCUAUAGCAAGCGAAGAAAUAUGGGUCCAUUUAGGGCAUUUCCCCCAG